UGGGGUGGAAACGGAUAGAGCCGGCGUUCUGCCGCGCACUCAGCAGUCGCGUCCGCGGGGCUCUCGGCAACUCUGUUUGAGUUGCAGUUAGUCGCAACGGCGGGGCUGCGUAUUGCGCGUGGAGAGCACUGAGGGGCGCUGGGGCGGCGGCGAGAUGGCUCUUGGUAGCGGACGUACCUAGCACGCAUCCUGCCUUCCGGAUCGCCCGUCGCUCGGGCGUCGCCAGCCGGGGAUCGCAGUGACGCGGUGCCGUUCUUGCGCUUCGGCAAAGGAAAUGGACACUUAGCGGAGCUCGGUCCCACCUCGGUGCAGCACGGUCACCUAUCCGACCCGUCUUGAAACACGGACCAAGGAGUUUAGCGCAUGCGCGAGUCAUUGGGCUUCGAACCCCAAAGGCGCAACGAAGGUGACCAACACCGAUGCGAUCCCGCCUUAACGGUGGGAGCAGCAUCGCCCUGCGGUGGCGCCACGGCGGCCCGCUGAGGCGGAGCGCAUGCGAUGAGACCCGAAAGAUGGUGAACUAUUCCCGAGCAGGACGAAGCCGGGGGAAACUCCGGUGGAAGUCCGAAGCGGUUCUGACGUGCAAAUCGAUCGUCUGACUUGGGUAUAGGGGCGAAAGACUAAUCGAACCAUCUAGUAGCUGGUUCCUU
This 650-nucleotide ribosomal RNA is filed under the name Malenchus geraerti. RNAcentral's name for it is "eukaryotic LSU rRNA". It matches the Rfam family "Eukaryotic large subunit ribosomal RNA", at positions 409 to 960 of the family's 3401-position model. The record is from RNAcentral. Lineage: Eukaryota; Metazoa; Nematoda; Chromadorea; Rhabditida; Tylenchidae.